GUGGGGAAUAUUGGACAAUGGGCGAAAGCCUGAUCCAGCCAUGCCGCGUGUGUGAAGAAGGUCUUCGGAUUGUAAACCACUUUAAGUUGGGAGGAAGGGCAGUAAGUUAAUACCUUGCUGUUUUGACGUUACCGACAGAAUAAGCACCGGCUAACUUCGUGCCAGCAGCCGCGGUAAUACGAAGGGUGCAAGCGUUAAUCGGAAUUACUGUGCGUAACGCGCGCGGAGGUGGUUUUGUAAGUUGGAGGUGAAAUCCCCGGGCUCAACCUGGGAACUGCCUCCAAAACUGCAUGACUAGAGUACGGUAGAGGGUAGUGGAAUUUCCUGUGUAGCGGUGAAAUGCGUAGAUAUAGGAAGGAACACCAGUGGCGAAGGCGACUACCUGGACUGAUACUGACACUGAGGUGCGAAAGCGUGGGGAGCAAACAGGAUUAGAUACCCGAGUAGUCC
Molecule: ribosomal RNA, 450 nt
Filed under: uncultured bacterium
Lineage: Bacteria
Description: partial 16S ribosomal RNA
Rfam family: Bacterial small subunit ribosomal RNA
Source: RNAcentral